This 544-nucleotide long non-coding RNA is filed under the name Gallus gallus (chicken). Its description in RNAcentral is "lncRNA (ENSGALG00010000736.1)". Lineage: Eukaryota; Metazoa; Chordata; Aves; Galliformes; Phasianidae. The record is from RNAcentral.
CUGGCUAUAGGGUCUGAUUUCCGCACGUCAAGAGCUGCUUGUGUCCUGGGAGGAGAGCGAGCCGUUCCCUGUGUCUGUCAGAGGAGUGAAGGUGCCAAAAUGCCGGCCCAUCUGGGCAGGUGGGUGCAGCAGGGCCCAGAACGCAGGGAGGGGAAGCCAGAAGCACUGCGUGCUGCCGGGCUUCCUCCAGCUGGGUGGCACAACGUCCCCUUCCGUGGGCACAGCCCUGCUCCUGCUCUGGGCAGAGCCAAAUGGGGCUAAAAGGAUCCCAGCAGAGCGUGUCCCAGCGCUGGGCUGUGAUAACCACCAUCUGAUCUCUCCCUUAGGCAACACGCUGCCAAAGAGAGGGGAAGGAGAACUCCCGUCCUGCUUCUAGUAGUCCUUUCUGCUGGAGCCUUCCUCUGGAUAUUGGCAGCUUGGAAAAAUGACGUCCUGCAGCUGGUGUCAGCAGGACCUGUGCAUGAGCUCCCGUGUCUGGGCUAAGAACACUUCCUUGCCACGCAGCUGGCUCUGUGGUGUGGCCUCAGCUGGCUGUGCGCUCUUU